This 491-nucleotide ribosomal RNA is filed under the name uncultured bacterium. RNAcentral describes it as "partial 16S ribosomal RNA". It matches the Rfam family "Bacterial small subunit ribosomal RNA", at positions 29 to 507 of the family's 1533-position model. The record is from RNAcentral.
GUGAACGCUGGCGGUAGGCCUAACACAUGCCAGUCGAACGGCAGCACAGUAAGAGCUUGCUCUUACGGGUGGCGAGUGGCGGACGGGUGAGGAAUACAUCGGAAUCUACUUUUUCGUGGGGGAUAACGUAGGGAAACUUACGCUAAUACCGCAUACGACCUACGGGUGAAAGCAGGGGAUCUUCGGACCUUGCGCGAUUGAAUGAGCCGAUGUCGGAUUAGCUAGUUGGCGGGGUAAAGGCCCACCAAGGCGACGAUCCGUAGCUGGUCAGAGAGGAUGAUCAGCCACACUGGAACUGAGACACGGUCCAGACUCCUACGGGAGGCAGCAGUGGGGAAUAUUGGACAAUGGGCGCAAGCCUGAUCCAGCCAUACCGCGUGGGUGAAGAAGGCCUUCGGGUUGUAAAGCCCUUUUGUUGGGAAAGAAAAGCAGCAGGUUAAUACCCCGCUGUUCUGACGGUACCCAAAGAAUAAGCACCGGCUAACUUCGUG